UACCUGGUUGAUUCUGCCAGUAGUCAUAUGCUUGUCUCAAAGAUUAAGCCAUGCAUGUCUAAGUAUAAGCAAUCUAUACCGUGAAACUGCGAAUGGCUCAUUAAAUCAGUUAUCGUUUAUUUGAUAGUACCUUACUACUUGGAUAACCGUGGUAAUUCUAGAGCUAAUACAUGCUAAAAACCUCGACUUCGGAAGGGGUGUAUUUAUUAGAUAAAAAACCAAUGCCCUUCGGGGCUCCUUGGUGAUUCAUAAUAACUUAACGAAUCGCAUGGC
Molecule: non-coding RNA, 273 nt
Filed under: Mollisia scopiformis
Lineage: Eukaryota; Fungi; Ascomycota; Leotiomycetes; Helotiales; Mollisiaceae
Description: Phialocephala scopiformis Eukaryotic small subunit ribosomal RNA
Rfam family: Eukaryotic small subunit ribosomal RNA
Source: Rfam by way of RNAcentral